Molecule: ribosomal RNA, 90 nt
Filed under: uncultured bacterium
Lineage: Bacteria
Description: partial 16S ribosomal RNA
Source: RNAcentral
UCUUGUACUCACCGCCCGUCAACUCAAGGGAGAUGGGAGUACCCGAAGAAUCGCGCAAGCGGUGCCACGGUAAGCUCAUCGACAGGGAGU